CCAGUCUUCACUCAAGGGUAUACGAGUAGCUGCACUCCCCUGCUAGAAUCUCCAAACAAGCUCUCAAGGCCCAUUGUUGGAACGUAGGAUAAUAAAGCUUAUGGACUACCCGAAGAACUGUGGACUUUGGCGCGGGCCAGGUAAUCUACUAGU
This 153-nucleotide small nuclear RNA is filed under the name Rattus norvegicus (Norway rat). RNAcentral describes it as "7SK RNA". It matches the Rfam family "7SK RNA", at positions 173 to 331 of the family's 331-position model. From Rfam's summary of the family: 7SK was discovered as an abundant small nuclear RNA in the mid-70s but a possible function has only recently been suggested. Two independent studies have found that 7SK RNA binds the CDK9/cyclin T complex (known as elongation factor P-TEFb). P-TEFb activates transcription by phosphorylating the C-terminal domain of RNA polymerase II. The record is from Rfam by way of RNAcentral. Lineage: Eukaryota; Metazoa; Chordata; Mammalia; Rodentia; Muridae.